This 639-nucleotide ribosomal RNA is filed under the name Wolbachia endosymbiont of Diaea circumlita. Its description in RNAcentral is "bacterial SSU rRNA". It matches the Rfam family "Bacterial small subunit ribosomal RNA", at positions 152 to 827 of the family's 1533-position model. The record is from RNAcentral. Lineage: Bacteria; Pseudomonadati; Pseudomonadota; Alphaproteobacteria; Rickettsiales; Anaplasmataceae.
GGAAACGGCAACUAAUACCGUAUACGCCCUACGGGGGAAAAAUUAUUGCUAUUAGAUGAGCCUAUAUUAGAUUAGCUUAGUUGGUGGGGUAAUGGCCUACCAAGGCAAUGAUCUAUAGCUGAUCUGAGAGGAUGAUCAGCCACACUGGAACUGAGAUACGGUCCAGACUCCUACGGGAGGCAGCAGUGGGGAAUAUUGGACAAUGGGCGAAAGCUUGAUCCAGCCAUGCCGCAUGAGUGAAGAAGGCCUUUGGGUUGUAAAGCUCUUUUAGUGAGGAAGAUAAUGACGGUACUCACAGAAGAAGUCCUGGCUAACUCCGUGCCAGCAGCCGCGGUAAUACGGAGAGGGCUAGCGUUAUUCGGAAUUAUUGGGCGUAAAGGGCGCGUAGGCGGAUUAGUAAGUUAAAAGUGAAAUCCCAAGGCUCAACCUUGGAAUUGCUUUUAAAACUGCUAAUCUAGAGAUUGAAAGAGGAUAGAGGAAUUCCUAGUGUAGAGGUGAAAUUCGUAAAUAUUAGAGGAACACCAGUGGCGAAGCGUCUAUCUGGUUCAAAUCUGACGCUGAGGCGCGAAGGCGUGGGGAGCAAACAGGAUUAGAUACCCUGGUAGUCCACGCUGUAAACGAUGAAUGUUAAUAUGGGGA